CGUCAGGUCUGAGUUGACUCUCAGCCUUUUGGGCUGUAUAUUUCUUCAAAGUCGAGCGCCAGUUUCUUAGUCAGCUCUAACUAAUUUCAGAGUGGAAGGGAAACUUGACUGGAGUGCUGUUUGGGAUCUGCUUUUUAAUCCUGGUCUGUUUAAUGUUUGCUCCUGACAGUCUAGGCCAGACAUCAUUUUAAUGGUAUGUGUGGUGAUAAAGCCAAUAAACUGUCAAGAUGAUUGAUAAUCUAAGCAUUAUAGCAAUAUGACUUUCCUGUUCUCCUCUGUGCUUUAGAUGAUGGUUUCCAAAUUGAAUUCCUACAGUGUGUGCUGUGUGUGCGUGCCUGUUGGAGGCUCCCCGAACAGCGUUUGAAGGAGGGAGCUGUGUUUAAUGAUCACUGGAUUAGGAACUGGGUAGUUGAUACAGAUGACCUUUAUGAAAUUCUCUGUGUAGAUGCCUUCUCCCUUAUAACUGUGGCCCCUGUAGUCAUCAGAUGAAGACCUAUUGGAAACUUUACUUCAGUAUAUCAGAACGGAGAACUUGACGUUAAAAGGAAAAAGGUAAAGAGACAAGAAAUUACGCAGAAACUUCCAUACUUUUUAUUUUUUCAGUCUUAAUUUCAUUCUGUCCAUUCAUCC
RNAcentral lists this long non-coding RNA (630 nucleotides) under Capra hircus (goat). Its description in RNAcentral is "lncRNA (ENSCHIG00010026487.1)". Lineage: Eukaryota; Metazoa; Chordata; Mammalia; Artiodactyla; Bovidae. The record is from RNAcentral.